This 254-nucleotide ribosomal RNA is filed under the name uncultured bacterium. RNAcentral describes it as "partial 16S ribosomal RNA". It matches the Rfam family "Bacterial small subunit ribosomal RNA", at positions 524 to 776 of the family's 1533-position model. The record is from RNAcentral.
UACGUAGGGGCCUAGCGUUGUCCGGAUUUAUUGGGCGUAAAGAGCUCGUAGGCGGUUGGGUAAGUCGGGUGUGAAAACUCCAGGCUCAACUUGGAGAUGCCACCCGAUACUGCUCUGACUUGAGUUCGGUAGGGGAGUGGGGAAUUCCUGGUGUAGCGGUGAAAUGCGCAGAUAUCAGGAGGAACACCGGUGGCGAAGGCGCCACUCUGGGCCGAAACUGACGCUGAGGAGCGAAAGCGUGGGUAGCAAACAGG